GGCGGCCUACGGGGGGCAGCAGUGGGGAAUUUUGGACAAUGGGCGCAAGCCUGAUCCAGCUAUUCCGCGUGUGGGAUGAAGGCCCUCGGGUUGUAAACCACUUUUGUAGAGAACGAAAAGACACCUUCGAAUAAAGGGUGUUGCUGACGAUACUCUAAGAAUAAGCACCGGCUAACUACGUGCCAGCAGCCGCGGUAAUACGUAGGGUGCGAGCGUUAAUCGGAAUUACUGGGCGUAAAGGGUGCGCAGGCGGUUGAGUAAGACAGAUGUGAAAACCCCGGGCUUAACUCGGGAAU
RNAcentral lists this ribosomal RNA (296 nucleotides) under uncultured bacterium. RNAcentral's name for it is "partial 16S ribosomal RNA". It matches the Rfam family "Bacterial small subunit ribosomal RNA", at positions 333 to 621 of the family's 1533-position model. The record is from RNAcentral.